RNAcentral lists this ribosomal RNA (497 nucleotides) under uncultured bacterium. Its description in RNAcentral is "partial 16S ribosomal RNA". It matches the Rfam family "Bacterial small subunit ribosomal RNA", at positions 899 to 1397 of the family's 1533-position model. The record is from RNAcentral.
ACUCAAAGGAAUAGACGGGGGCCCGCACAAGCGGCGGAGCAUGUUGCUUAAUUCGAUGCAACGCGAAGAACCUUACCUAGGUUGAACUACGCAGGAAAAGCCAUAGAGAUAUGGUGUCCGAAAGGGUCUGCGAUAGGUGGUGCAUGGCUGUCGUCAGCUCGUGUCGUGAGAUGUUGGGUUAAGUCCCGCAACGAGCGCAACCCUUAUUCUAUGUUGCCAGCACGUAAUGGUGGGGACUCGUAGAAGACUGCCGGGGUCAACUCGGAGGAAGGUGGGGAUGACGUCAAGUCAUCAUGCCCCUUAUGCCUAGGGCUGCAAACAUGCUACAAUGGCUGGUACAAAGGGCUGCUAUCCCGCGAGGGUGAGCGAAUCCCAUAAAGCCAGUCUCAGUUCGGAUUGGAGUCUGCAACUCGACUCCAUGAAGUCGGAGUCGCUAGUAAUCCCGGAUCAGCAAUGCCGGGGUGAAUACGUUCCCGGGCCUUGUACACACCGCCCGU